GAUCUCUUUUGUUUUCUUUAAGUUAAGGACGGUCACCCUCAGGGGAAACAGGUCCCCCCCUUUGGAGGAAAUGGACUGAUCGGAACCUGGCUGUGACAUCGGCUCAGAAUCCCAGCCUCACUUUGCAGUUGAGGCCAACAGCCUUUUGGUGGUUUCUCUGCAAGUGAAUCAGGAAAAACUCUUAUUGGACGCCGAAAAAGCAAAGUCUGAAGACUGAUGUCUGUGGAAAUGUCAGCCACCGAGGAGGACAUUCUCAAUGUCAAGGAGGACGAAGGAA
Non-coding RNA from Podarcis muralis (Common wall lizard), 277 nucleotides. The record is from RefSeq and is a predicted model, not a curated record. NCBI's taxonomy places the organism in Eukaryota, Metazoa, Chordata, Lepidosauria, Squamata, Lacertidae.